RNAcentral lists this microRNA (20 nucleotides) under Monodelphis domestica (gray short-tailed opossum). Its description in RNAcentral is "mdo-miR-12376-3p". Lineage: Eukaryota; Metazoa; Chordata; Mammalia; Didelphimorphia; Didelphidae. The record is from miRBase by way of RNAcentral.
UCCCCGCCCCCAGGCCGCGC